Molecule: transfer RNA, 72 nt
Filed under: Salmo salar (Atlantic salmon)
Lineage: Eukaryota; Metazoa; Chordata; Actinopteri; Salmoniformes; Salmonidae
Rfam family: tRNA
About the family: Transfer RNA (tRNA) molecules are approximately 80 nucleotides in length. Their secondary structure includes four short double-helical elements and three loops (D, anti-codon, and T loops).
Source: Rfam by way of RNAcentral
CUCCCUGUGGCUCAGUUGGUAGAGCAUGGUGUUUGCAAUGCCAGGGUUGUGGGUUCGAUUCCCAUGGGGGGC